UGAAGUAUAGCUCUGUUGGUAAAGUGCUUGCCUGGCAUGCAUGAAGCCCUGGACUCAGUCUCUAGUACCUCAU
RNAcentral lists this transfer RNA (73 nucleotides) under Mus musculus (house mouse). It matches the Rfam family "tRNA". Rfam says of the family: Transfer RNA (tRNA) molecules are approximately 80 nucleotides in length. Their secondary structure includes four short double-helical elements and three loops (D, anti-codon, and T loops). Lineage: Eukaryota; Metazoa; Chordata; Mammalia; Rodentia; Muridae. The record is from Rfam by way of RNAcentral.